UUGAAAGGGAAACGAUUGAAGUCAGUCGUACCGGCGGGUAAUCAGCCUUUUGGGUGUGAUUAUGUGGAGCGUGAGGAGUUAAUCACCCUCAUCUUUGCAUAUUCGUGCACUUUGGGUGUACUUGCUCGUGUGGUAGGUCAACAUCAAUUUUGAUCGUCAUAAAAUGAUUGGGGGAAUGUAGCUUCGAUCUCGUAUUGAAGUGUUAUAGCCUUCGGUAGAUGUGAUGAUUGGGAUUGAGGAUUGCAACGGAUACCCUUCGGGGCUACCUGUCUGAUCUCUGAAAGUUGCUCUGGUGCUGAAAGCUUGCUCACGGUAUCAAAGUUGACGUUCAACAGGUUAGAACGGGAUAAAUUCGUUAAGGAUGUUGACGUA
This 372-nucleotide ribosomal RNA is filed under the name uncultured Glomeromycotina. RNAcentral's name for it is "LSU rRNA". Lineage: Eukaryota; Fungi; Glomeromycota. The record is from RNAcentral.